This 221-nucleotide ribosomal RNA is filed under the name uncultured bacterium. RNAcentral describes it as "partial 16S ribosomal RNA". It matches the Rfam family "Bacterial small subunit ribosomal RNA", at positions 111 to 334 of the family's 1533-position model. The record is from RNAcentral.
UAACACGUGGGUGAUCUGCCCUGCACUUCGGGAUAAGCUUGGGAAACUGGGUCUAAUACCGGAUAGGACUACGGACUGCAUGGUCUGUGGUGGAAAGCUUUUGCGGUGUGGGAUGGGCCCGCGGCCUAUCAGCUUGUUGGUGGGGUGAUGGCCUACCAAGGCGUCGAUCGGUAGCUGGUCUGAGAGGACGAUCAGCCACACUGGGAUUGAGAACGGCCCAG